Molecule: ribosomal RNA, 403 nt
Filed under: uncultured bacterium
Lineage: Bacteria
Description: bacterial SSU rRNA
Rfam family: Bacterial small subunit ribosomal RNA
Source: RNAcentral
UGGGGAAUCUUGCGCAAUGGGCGAAAGCCUGACGCAGCCAUGCCGCGUGAGUGAUGAAGGCCUUAGGGUUGUAAAACUCUUUCAGCGGGGACGAUAAUGACGGUACCCGCAGAAGAAGCCCCGGCUAACUUCGUGCCAGCAGCCGCGGUAAUACGAAGGGGGCUAGCGUUGCUCGGAAUUACUGGGCGUAAAGGGAGCGUAGGCGGAUAGUUUAGUCAGAGGUGAAAUCCCGGGGCUCAACCUCGGAACUGCCUUUGAUACUGGCUAUCUUGAGUAUGGGAGAGGUGUGUGGAACUCCGAGUGUAGAGGUGAAAUUCGUAGAUAUUCGGAAGAACACCAGUGGCGAAGGCGACACACUGGCCCAUUACUGACGCUGAGGCUCGAAAGCGUGGGGAGCAAACAG